AGUAAUAUAACAAACAACACGAGAUAUCAUGUGCUGUGAGAUGUUGU
Molecule: non-coding RNA, 47 nt
Filed under: Trypanosoma lewisi
Lineage: Eukaryota; Euglenozoa; Kinetoplastea; Trypanosomatida; Trypanosomatidae
Source: RNAcentral